UACGUAGGUGGCAAGCGUUAUCCGGAUUUAUUGGGCGCAAAGGGAACGCAGGCGGUCUUUUAAGUCUGAUGUGAAAGCCUUCGGCUUAACCGGAGUAGUGCAUUGGAAACUGGGAGACUUGAGUGCAGAAGAGGAGAGUGGAACUCCAUGUGUAGCGGUGAAAUGCGUAGAUAUAUGGAAGAACACCAGUGGCGAAAGCGGCUCUCUGGUCUGUAACUGACGCUGAGGUUCGAAAGCGUGGGGAGCAAACAGG
Molecule: ribosomal RNA, 253 nt
Filed under: uncultured bacterium
Lineage: Bacteria
Description: partial 16S ribosomal RNA
Rfam family: Bacterial small subunit ribosomal RNA
Source: RNAcentral